GUGUCAGUAACUUAUUGUUUUAAAAGCGAACUCAUAAUCCCUUGGUCGCUGGUUCGAGUCCAGCUGGGCCCACCA
Molecule: transfer RNA, 75 nt
Filed under: Halomonas organivorans
Lineage: Bacteria; Pseudomonadati; Pseudomonadota; Gammaproteobacteria; Oceanospirillales; Halomonadaceae
Description: tRNA-OTHER
Source: RNAcentral